AUUGAACGCUGGCGGCAUGCUUUACACAUGCAAGUCGAACGGCAGCACGGGUGCUUGCACCUGGUGGCGAGUGGCGGACGGGUGAGUAAUGCAUCGGAACGUGUCCUAAAGUGGGGGAUAACGCAUCGAAAGAUGUGCUAAUACCGCAUAAUCUCUGAGGAGAAAAGUAGGGGAUCGAAAGACCUUAUGCUUUUGGAGCGGCUGAUGUCUGAUUAGCUAGUUGGUAAGGUAAUGGCUUACCAAGGCGACGAUCAGUAGUUGGUCUGAGAGGACGACCAGCCACACUGGGACUGAGACACGGCCCAGACUCCUACGGGAGGCAGCAGUGGGGAAUUUUGGACAAUGGGCGCAAGCCUGAUCCAGCAAAUGCCGCGUGAGUGAAGAAGGCCUGG
Molecule: ribosomal RNA, 392 nt
Filed under: uncultured bacterium
Lineage: Bacteria
Description: bacterial SSU rRNA
Rfam family: Bacterial small subunit ribosomal RNA
Source: RNAcentral